RNAcentral lists this ribosomal RNA (253 nucleotides) under uncultured bacterium. RNAcentral describes it as "partial 16S ribosomal RNA". It matches the Rfam family "Bacterial small subunit ribosomal RNA", at positions 524 to 776 of the family's 1533-position model. The record is from RNAcentral.
UACGUAGGUGGCAAGCGUUGUCCGGAUUUAUUGGGUUUAAAGGGUGCGUAGGCGGCUUUGUAAGUCAGUGGUGAAAUAUGGCAGCUCAACUGUCAGGGUGCCAUUGAUACUGCGGAGCUUGAGUACAGAUGAGGUAGGCGGAAUUGACGGUGUAGCGGUGAAAUGCUUAGAUAUCGUCAAGAACACCGAUAGCGAAGGCAGCUUACUAGGCUGUAACUGACGCUGAGGCACAAAAGUGUGGGGAUCAAACAGG